Molecule: ribosomal RNA, 1269 nt
Filed under: metagenome
Description: bacterial LSU rRNA
Rfam family: Bacterial large subunit ribosomal RNA
Source: RNAcentral
AAAUACCAAGGCGCUUGAGAGAACUCGGGUGAAGGAACUAGGCAAAAUGGCACCGUAACUUCGGGAGAAGGUGCGCCGGUGAGGGUGAAGCAUUUACUGCGUAAGCCCAUGCCGGUCGAAGAUACCAGGCCGCUGCGACUGUUUAUUAAAAACACAGCACUCUGCAAACACGAAAGUGGACGUAUAGGGUGUGACGCCUCCCCGGUGCCGGAAGGUUAAUUGAUGGGGUUAGCUAACGCGAAGCUCUUGAUCGAAGCCCCGGUAAACGGCGGCCGUAACAAUAACGGUCCUAAGGUAGCGAAAUUCCUUGUCGGGUAAGUUCCGACCUGCACGAAUGGCGUAACGAUGGCGGCGCUGUCUCCACCCGAGACUCAGUGAAAUUGAAAUCGCUGUGAAGAUGCAGUGUAUCCGCGGCUAGACGGAAAGACCCCGUGAACCUUUACUAUAGCUUUGCACUGGACUUUGAAUUUGCUUGUGUAGGAUAGGUGGGAGGCUUUGAAGCGUGGACGCCAGUUCGCGUGGAGCCAACCUUGAAAUACCACCCUGGCAACUUUGAGGUUCUAACUCAGGUCCGUUAUCCGGAUCGAGGACAGUGUAUGGUGGGUAGUUUGACUGGGGCGGUCUCCUCCUAAAGAGUAACGGAGGAGUACGAAGGUGCGCUCAGACCGGUCGGAAAUCGGUCGUAGAGUAUAAAGGCAAAAGCGCGCUUGACUGCGAGACAGACACGUCGAGCAGGUACGAAAGUAGGUCUUAGUGAUCCGGUGGUUCUGUAUGGAAGGGCCAUCGCUCAACGGAUAAAAGGUACUCCGGGGAUAACAGGCUGAUACCGCCCAAGAGUUCAUAUCGACGGCGGUGUUUGGCACCUCGAUGUCGGCUCAUCACAUCCUGGGGCUGAAGCCGGUCCCAAGGGUAUGGCUGUUCGCCAUUUAAAGUGGUACGCGAGCUGGGUUUAGAACGUCGUGAGACAGUUCGGUCCCUAUCUGCCGUGGACGUUUGAGAUUUGAGAGGGGCUGCUCCUAGUACGAGAGGACCGGAGUGGACGAACCUCUGGUGUUCCGGUUGUCACGCCAGUGGCAUUGCCGGGUAGCUAUGUUCGGAAUAGAUAACCGCUGAAAGCAUCUAAGCGGGAAACUAGCCUCAAGAUGAGAUCUCACUGGGACCUUGAGUCCCCUGAAGGGCCGUCGAAGACUACGACGUUGAUAGGUUGGGUGUGUAAGCGCUGUGAGGCGUUGAGCUAACCAAUACUAAUUGCCCGUGAGGCUUGACCAA